UGCAUCAUCAUAACUUCUGCUUCAGAUCUAUUUUGCAAAAACUUAUCUGAAUGAGUGUGUGCAUGCAUGUGUGUCACGUCUUCCUUCAGAAAACCUCAUGAGAGCCGGAAACCAAGCCAGAAAAUACCCGUGUUUCUUUUUAGUUUUAGUCAUAUCUGCCUCAGACUGAGGAUGUAAUGUGCUGCAUAGUUUCCAAAGAAGAGAGUGUAAGAAUAGAGAGUGAACUUUAAGCCUAGAUAUGUUGGUUGUCCAUAGCAGCUGGUCAUCAGCAGCAUUGCUACGACAAGGUGUCCCAUUACUUGCCAACACAAACACACUCGGUGACCUCCAGACUAUGCAGAGCAGCUGGUUGAUGUUGUUAUUUACGUCAGAAUGUGUGUGUUUGUUUGCCUGUGAGGAGAAUGAUAUGACAAUGUUUGAUAAGCCGUCAUGAAUCCACUUGCUCUUAUUUCCUCUCUAAAUGAAAAGCCAGAGAGGAAGUGAGUGAAUAUCAGUUUCACUGCCUCUGCUACGUUAUUCUCGUCCUCAGGUUUAUAUUAAGGACUGCUCCGGCCUACUUAAACCUUUCUCUGUCGGCGAGGGGUAGAUUAUAGCCCCUGUAUCUGCAUCUGCUGAGGAAGACUGUGAGAUGUGGUUGAUAGCUCUGGAAAAAGUAUGUUGACCUUGGAGUUAAGAUUUUCUUUUUUCAAGGUGAACCUUCAAGUCUUAUAGCCAAAAUGAUAUAAUGCUAUAAUUCCUCGCCUAUGGUUGAACAGACUUCUGUUUGAGAAGUUGUAAAAAUGUUUCUUGUGGUUAUGUUUUUAAUAAUUAUAAAUUGAAGGUAUUUGGCCAAUAAAAAAUAUUUUUAUUUUA
This is a long non-coding RNA of Cottoperca gobio, 852 nucleotides long. RefSeq lists it as uncharacterized. The record is from RefSeq and is a predicted model, not a curated record. The transcript has 2 exons. Lineage: Eukaryota; Metazoa; Chordata; Actinopteri; Perciformes; Bovichtidae.